Molecule: non-coding RNA, 234 nt
Organism: Vicia faba (fava bean)
Lineage: Eukaryota; Viridiplantae; Streptophyta; Magnoliopsida; Fabales; Fabaceae
Source: the annotation of a GenBank genome assembly
AUGUUUAUUCUCCAACAUGUAAUGGGAAUUUUAUUCGAUUGUAUCUAUGUUUUGAAGAUUUAUUCAAGAUUUUACUCGGUUUAUGGAUUGUUUGCUAAGAUGAAUUUCCAACAUCAGAAGUGUUUUUUGUAUUCUAUGUUGAAAAUGGAUCUACAUUACCAAGAAAUGUGGAGAAGUGUAGUUAUUUGUUUUGUUAGGGAUGCAUUGGUAUCUACCUUUAUAUUCAGGUGUUAA